UACGUAGGUCCCGAGCGUUGUCCGGAUUUAUUGGGCGUAAAGCGAGCGCAGGUGGUUUAUUAAGUCUGGUGUAAAAGGCAGUGGCUCAACCAUUGUGUGCAUUGGAAACUGGUAGACUUGAGUGCAGGAAAGGAGAGUGGAAUUCCAUGUGUAGCGGUGAAAUGCGUAGAUAUAUGGAGGAACACCGGUGGCGAAAGCGGCUCUCUGGCCUGUAACUGACACUGAGGCUCGAAAGCGUGGGGAGCAAACAGG
Molecule: ribosomal RNA, 252 nt
Filed under: uncultured bacterium
Lineage: Bacteria
Description: partial 16S ribosomal RNA
Rfam family: Bacterial small subunit ribosomal RNA
Source: RNAcentral